UACGGAGGGCGCAAGCGUUGUCCGGAUUUAUUGGGUUUAAAGGGUACGUAGGCGGGCCUUUAAGUCAGUGGUGAAAGCCCAUAGCUCAACUAUGGAAAUGCCAUUGAUACUGGAGGUCUUGAGUUCAGUUGAGGUAAGCGGAAUUUAUGGUGUAGCGGUGAAAUGCAUAGAGACCAUAAAGAACACCGAUUGCGAAGGCAGCUUACUGGGCUUGAACUGACGCUGAGGUACGAAAGCGUGGGGAUCGAACAGG
Molecule: ribosomal RNA, 253 nt
Filed under: uncultured bacterium
Lineage: Bacteria
Description: partial 16S ribosomal RNA
Rfam family: Bacterial small subunit ribosomal RNA
Source: RNAcentral